GAGUUUGAUCGUGGCUCAGAUUGAACGCUGGCGGCAGGCCUAACACAUGCAAGUCGAGCGGAUGAAGGGAGCUUGCUCCUGGAUUCAGCGGCGGACGGGUGAGUAAUGCCUAGGAAUCUGCCUGGUAGUGGGGAGUAACGUCCGGAACGGGCGCUAAUACCGCAUACGUCCUGAGGGAGAAAGUGGGGGAGUCUUCGGACCUCACGCUAUCAGACGAGCCUAGGUCGGAUUAGCUAGUUGGUGGGGUAAAGGCCUACCAAGGCGACGAUCCGUAACUGGUCUGAGAGGAUGAUCAGUCACACUGGAACUGAGACACGGUCCAGACUCCUACGGGA
Molecule: ribosomal RNA, 335 nt
Filed under: uncultured microorganism
Description: bacterial SSU rRNA
Rfam family: Bacterial small subunit ribosomal RNA
Source: RNAcentral